Helianthus annuus (common sunflower) is the source of this 820-nucleotide long non-coding RNA. RefSeq lists it as uncharacterized. The transcript has 2 exons. The record is from RefSeq and is a predicted model, not a curated record. NCBI's taxonomy places the organism in Eukaryota, Viridiplantae, Streptophyta, Magnoliopsida, Asterales, Asteraceae.
ACAAGUCAGAUGCUCAUGGUUGGCCGUGAUGAUGCAAAAAAAUGCCAAAUUGGUUUCUUGGGCGUGGCAUUCGUUAGGGCAAUGUGAAUGUGAUUCCUGAUUUCACAUACCAAAUGGUAUUAAAUAGUAUUGUCUGCAACCACAAGGAUUUAGCAAUUCUAAGCCUCCAAGACAACGAUUUGGUUUUUAAUUUUCAUAUUAAUCAAUAUCAAUCGUUCCAUGAAAUUGUGAAAAUUUUACACGAUAAAGAUGAUGAUUUUUUGUUUGUCAAUUUUGAUGCGAUAUAGUAAAAUUUUACAAUUAUUGAAAUACAUAUUUUCUUAUGGGUGAGAUCGCUCUUAUCAAUGUUGCAAGGCAAGGGCAUAUCUCCAAUGCUAAUACCUCAUUGAACAUGUACUGAAACUGAUGAUGGUAUUACUUCUUUGUUCUUAGCUGUAGUUGCAGGCUCACUCCAAUGGUUGGAGCUAUUAACAUAGGAAGGUGCAAAAGUUCAAUCACGGGGACUAAUACAACCAAGCUUUAGGCCGGUCAAUUGUUUGUAUCUUUAGCUCUUGCUUUUAUAUGUCUAUUUUUAUUAUGAAUUCAGAUAUAUAACCAAAAAGGAGAGUAAAGUGAUUCAAAAUAUAAGUUUUAAUAGAUUUUCAUUUACUCAAUGUUGAUUUUGCAUCUCCUACGACUUGAUCCUAAAGAAACGUUACAUCUUUUGCACGUUUCGUUUAAGACCAAACACUAUCGGGUAAUGUUUUGUUUAUUGCUUUUUGUACAUAGGGUUUUCCGCCGCAACGCGCGGACGGGUAAAAACCUAGUUUAUAUUAUAUAA